This 989-nucleotide ribosomal RNA is filed under the name uncultured Phascolarctobacterium sp. RNAcentral describes it as "bacterial SSU rRNA". It matches the Rfam family "Bacterial small subunit ribosomal RNA", at positions 1 to 920 of the family's 1533-position model. The record is from RNAcentral. Lineage: Bacteria; Bacillati; Bacillota; Negativicutes; Acidaminococcales; Acidaminococcaceae.
GGAGCUCUCCCNUAUGGUCGACCUGCAGGCGGCCGCGAAUUCACUAGUGAUUAGAGUUUGAUCCUGGCUCAGGACGAACGCUGGCGGCGUGCCUAACACAUGCAAGUCGAACGGAGAAUUUUAUUUCGGUAGAAUUCUUAGUGGCGAACGGGUGAGUAACGCGUGGGCAACCUACCCUUUAGACGGGGACAACAUUCCGAAAGGAGUGCUAAUACCGGAUGUGAUCAUUGUGCCGCAUGGCAGGAUGAAGAAAGAUGGCCUCUACAAGUAAGCUAUCGCUAAAGGAUGGGCCUGCGUCUGAUUAGCUAGUUGGUAGUGUAACGGACUACCAAGGCGAUGAUCAGUAGCCGGUCUGAGAGGAUGAACGGCCACAUUGGGACUGAGACACGGCCCAAACUCCUACGGGAGGCAGCAGUGGGGAAUCUUCCGCAAUGGACGAAAGUCUGACGGAGCAACGCCGCGUGAGUGAUGAAGGAUUUCGGUCUGUAAAGCUCUGUUGUUUAUGACGAACGUGCAGUGUGUGAACAAUGCAUUGCAAUGACGGUAGUAAACGAGGAAGCCACGGCUAACUACGUGCCAGCAGCCGCGGUAAUACGUAGGUGGCGAGCGUUGUCCGGAAUUAUUGGGCGUAAAGAGCAUGUAGGCGGCUUAAUAAGUCGAGCGUGAAAAUGCGGGGCUCAACCCCGUAUGGCGCUGGAAACUGUUAGGCUUGAGUGCAGGAGAGGAAAGGGGAAUUCCCAGUGUAGCGGUGAAAUGCGUAGAUAUUGGGAGGAACACCAGUGGCGAANGCGCCUUUCUGGACUGUGUCUGACGCUGAGAUGCGAAAGCCAGGGUAGCGAACGGGAUUAGAUACCCCGGUAGUCCUGGCCGUAAACGAUGGGUACUANGUGUAGGANGUAUCGACCCCUUCUGUGCCNGAGUUAACGCAAUAAGUACCCNGCCNGGGGNGUACGGGCCGCNNGUUGAAACUCAAANGAANUGACGGGGGC